This 497-nucleotide ribosomal RNA is filed under the name uncultured bacterium. Its description in RNAcentral is "partial 16S ribosomal RNA". It matches the Rfam family "Bacterial small subunit ribosomal RNA", at positions 28 to 507 of the family's 1533-position model. The record is from RNAcentral.
GAUGAACGCUGGCGGCGUGCCUAAUACAUGCAAGUCGAGCGAACGGACGAGAAGCUUGCUUCUCUGAUGUUAGCGGCGGACGGGUGAGUAACACGUGGAUAACCUACCUAUAAGACUGGGAUAACUUCGGGAAACCGGAGCUAAUACCGGAUAAUCUUUUGAACCGCAUGGUUCAAAAGUGAAAGACGGUCUUGCUGUCACUUAUAGAUGGAUCCGCGCUGCAUUAGCUAGUUGGUAAGGUAACGGCUUACCAAGGCAACGAUGCAUAGCCGACCUGAGAGGGUGAUCGGCCGCACUGGAACUGAGACACGGUCCAGACUCCUACGAGAGGCAGCAGUAGGGAAUCUUCCGCAAUGGGCGAAAGCCUGACGGAGCAACGCCGCGUGAGUUAUGAAGGUCUUCGGAUCGUAAAACUCUGUUAUUAGGGAAGAACAUAUGUGUAAGUAACUGUGCACAUCUUGACGGUACCUAAUCAGAAAGCCACGGCUAACUACGUG